This 326-nucleotide ribosomal RNA is filed under the name uncultured eukaryote. RNAcentral describes it as "partial 18S ribosomal RNA". It matches the Rfam family "Eukaryotic small subunit ribosomal RNA", at positions 1470 to 1796 of the family's 1831-position model. The record is from RNAcentral.
CCCUUAGAUGUUCUGGGCCGCACGCGCGCUGCACUGAUGCAUUCAACGAGCCUAGCCUUGACCGAGAGGUCCGGGUAAUCCUUGAAACUGCAUCGUGAUGGGGCUAGAUUAUUGCAAUUAUUAAUCUUCAACGAGGAAUGCCUAGUAAGCGUGAUUCAUCAAAUCGCGUUGAUUACGUCCCUGCCCUUUGUACACACCGCCCGUCGCUCCUACCGAUUGAGUGUGUUGGUGAGGAGUUUGGAUUGGCCUCGGAAGGUGGUUCGCCACCGUCCGUAGCUGAGAAGUUCUCCAAACCGCCCCACUUAGAGGAAGGAGAAGUCGUAACA